This 502-nucleotide ribosomal RNA is filed under the name uncultured bacterium. Its description in RNAcentral is "bacterial SSU rRNA". It matches the Rfam family "Bacterial small subunit ribosomal RNA", at positions 29 to 524 of the family's 1533-position model. The record is from RNAcentral.
AACGAACGCUGGCGGCGCGCCUAAUACAUGCAAGUCGAGCGAGAAGACGUAGCAAUACGUUUGUAAAGCGGCGAACGGGUGAGGAAUACAUGGGUAACCUACCCUCGAGUGGGGAAUAACUAGCCGAAAGGUUAGCUAAUACCGCGUACGCUCCUUGGACUUCGGUUCAGGGAGGAAAGCGAUACCGUGGGUAUCGCGCUCUUGGAUGGGCUCAUGUCCUAUCAGCUUGUUGGUGAGGUAACGGCUCACCAAGGCUUCGACGGGUAGCUGGUCUGAGAGGACGAUCAGCCACACUGGCACUGCGACACGGGCCAGACUCCUACGGGAGGCAGCAGUAAGGAAUAUUGCGCAAUGGGCGAAAGCCUGACGCAGCGACGCCGCGUGGGGGAUGAAGGUCUUCGGAUUGUAAACCCCUUUCGGGAGGGAAGAUGGAACGAGCAAUCGUUCGGACGGUACCUCCAGAAGCAGCCACGGCUAACUUCGUGCCAGCAGCCGCCGUAAC